CCAGACUCCUACGGGAGGCAGCAGUGAGGAAUAUUGGUCAAUGGGCGGGAGCCUGAACCAGCCAAGUCGCGUGAGGGAAGACGGUCCUACGGAUUGUAAACCUCUUUUGCCGGGGAGCAACGGGGUCCUUGCGAGGGCCCGAUGAGAGUACCCGGAGAAAAAGCAUCGGCUAACUCCGUGCCAGCAGCCGCGGUAAUACGGAGGAUGCGAGCGUUAUCCGGAUUUAUUGGGUUUAAAGGGUGCGUAGGCGGAGUGUCAAGUCAGCGGUAAAAUUUCGGGGCUCAACCCCGUCGUGCCGUUGAAACUGACGCCCUUGAGUGAGUGAGAAGUAAGCGGAAUGCGUGGUGUAGCGGUGAAAUGCAUAGAUAUCACGCAGAACGCCGAUUGCGAAGGCAGCUUACCGGCGCUCAACUGACGCUGAGGCACGAAAGUGCGGGUAUCGAACAGGAUUAGAUACCCCCGUA
This 464-nucleotide ribosomal RNA is filed under the name uncultured bacterium. RNAcentral's name for it is "bacterial SSU rRNA". It matches the Rfam family "Bacterial small subunit ribosomal RNA", at positions 331 to 792 of the family's 1533-position model. The record is from RNAcentral.